This 289-nucleotide ribosomal RNA is filed under the name uncultured Myxococcales bacterium. RNAcentral describes it as "partial 16S ribosomal RNA". The record is from RNAcentral. Lineage: Bacteria; Pseudomonadati; Myxococcota; Myxococcia; Myxococcales.
CUACAGGGGUAUCUAAUCCUGUUUGCUCCCCACGCUUUCGCGUCUCAGCGUCAGUAUCCGUCCAGAUGGCCGCCUUCGCCACCGGUGUUCCUCCCCAUAUCUACGAAUUUCACCUCUACUUGGGGAAUUCCGCCAUCCUCUCCGGUACUCGAGCCAUGCAGUUUCGGGCGCACUUCCUCAGUUAAGCUGAGGGCUUUCACACCCGACUUGCAAAGCCGCCUACACGCGCUUUACGCCCAAUAAUUCCGAACAACGCUUGCACCCUCUGUAUUACCGCGGCUGCUGGCAC